UACGUAGGGUCCGAGCGUUAAUCGGAAUUACUGGGCGUAAAGCGUGCGCAGGCGGUUUUGUAAGCCAGAUGUGAAAGCCCCGGGCUCAACCUGGGAACUGCAUUUGGGACUGCAAAGCUGGAGUACGGCAGAGGGAGGUGGAAUUCCACGUGUAGCAGUGAAAUGCGUAGAGAUGUGGAGGAACACCGAUGGCGAAGGCAGCCUCCUGGGCCAGCACUGACGCUCAUGCACGAAAGCGUGGGGAGCAAACAGG
Molecule: ribosomal RNA, 253 nt
Filed under: uncultured bacterium
Lineage: Bacteria
Description: partial 16S ribosomal RNA
Rfam family: Bacterial small subunit ribosomal RNA
Source: RNAcentral